GCCCAGACUCCUACGGGAGGCAGCAGUGGGGGAUAUUGCACAAUGGGGGAAACCCUGAUGCAGCGACGCCGCGUGGGCGAAGAAGUAUUUCGGUAUGUAAAGCCCUAUCAGCAGGGAAGAAGAAAUGACGGUACCUGACUAAGAAGCCCCGGCUAACUACGUGCCAGCAGCCGCGGUAAUACGUAGGGGGCAAGCGUUAUCCGGAAUUACUGGGUGUAAAGGGAGCGCAGACGGCAGUGCAAGUCUGGAGUGAAAGCCCGUGGCUUAACUACGGGACUGCUCUGGAAACUGUGCAGCUAGAGUGCAGGAGAGGCAGGCGGAAUUCCUAGUGUAGCGGUGAAAUGCGUAGAUAUUAGGAGGAACACCGGUGGCGAAGGCGGCCUGCUGGACUGUAACUGACGUUGAGGCUCGAAAGCGUGGGGAGCAAACAGGAUUAGAUACCCUCGUA
RNAcentral lists this ribosomal RNA (448 nucleotides) under uncultured bacterium. Its description in RNAcentral is "partial 16S ribosomal RNA". It matches the Rfam family "Bacterial small subunit ribosomal RNA", at positions 329 to 792 of the family's 1533-position model. The record is from RNAcentral.